Molecule: long non-coding RNA, 1427 nt
Organism: Alosa alosa (allis shad)
Lineage: Eukaryota; Metazoa; Chordata; Actinopteri; Clupeiformes; Clupeidae
Exons: 4
Source: RefSeq, a predicted model, not a curated record
GUUUAAUUUGUGUCCAAAAGUUAUGUACGAAACACUGUUACGACUCCGCGAAUAAACGUACGAAACACUGUGGCUGUCAACAUCCGGGAUUUCUGGCACUAAUCACAAUAAAUCGCUUCUAGGAUUGGUCACAGUUCACAAAGGUACUCCAAUGAGGGCUUGUUAUGUUGACAAGACCUUCCUCUUUUCAAUGAUGUAUACCGGAGACGUAGUGGUUACCGUCUCACUCAAUCAUCCUGGCGUAAGUGUAAUAGCGCGCCGAUCCUGAGGGGGCAGACUGUAUGGAACAGCGUGAACUUUUUCUAACGUUGAGACGCUUUGGCGGCAAAGAUGCAUUGUUACGUGAGUGCUAAUUAAGCUUUACGCCUGUGAAAAAAUUCCAACACUAGAAGCAAUCUAACGUUGAAGUAGAAUCUACCAUUCCACAGCUGCGGUAAACCUGAACGUUAACGUUUUGUCGCCUGCUGUACUCCAAGAUUUGCUCAUAAUUAAUCUUUCAGAGGGUUUCUGUAAUUACAGACAAGCACAGAGUAAUAGUCUUUUUCAAGACUUUUCCAUUCAGGUCUUCCACAUCCACGUGGUUGUGUUGCAGACUUGAAGUUCAGCACAGAGUAAUAGUUUUUUUUAAGACUUUUCCAUUCACGUCUUCAUUGGUUGUGUUGCAGACUUGAAGUUCAGGCUUGUUCCAGACCAGACCAGUUUGGUGGCUGGGUGCCUGUCUGUGCACAACAAUCAUCAUCGCUCACAACAUAACCUACUAAUACCUACAAACAUAUCUGAGCACAUACCUAUCUGAACAUAUCUGAGCACAUACCGAGACUUCUACUAAGAUUUAUCCUGAGAACUAUCUGAGCACAUACUGAGACUUCUACUAAGAUUUAUACUGAGAAUUCUACUAAGAUUUAUCCUGAGAACUAUCUGAGCACAUACUGAGACUUUCUACUAAGAUUUAUACUGAGAUUUAUCCUGAGAACUAUACUGAGAUUUAUCCUGAGAACUAUCUGAGCACAUACUGAGACUUAUUCUGAGAACCAUACCUGUGAAUCAUAUCUGAACAUAUCUGAGCACAUACUGAGACUUCUACUAAGAUUUAUGCUGAGAAUUCUACUGAGAUUUAUCCUGAGAACUAUACUGAGACUUAUUCUGAGAACCAUACCUGUGAAUCAUAUCUGUCAGCCAUUCAUACCUUUGAAUCGUACCUGUGUUGUGAAAUCUGUGAAACUUAGCUGUGCUGUUAGACCUCUGCUUUUAGACCUGAACUGUGCGAAGAUUGAGAUUCUAACCUUGAUUUUGUCUAAAACUGACCACCUGAAGGGCUGACUCUUAUUCUUCAGUCUACAUCACCAUCAAAUACCAUUAACUGAGACCUCUGUUUCUCUGUUGACCAUCUGAUCUCUCCCUGACCAUUAAAUUAUUCUGUAGCUUCA